UACGGAGGGUGCAAGCGUUACCCGGAUUCACUGGGCGUAAAGAGUUCGUAGGCGGCCCUAUAAGUCGUAUUUUAAAGACCAGAGCUUAACUUUGGAAAGGGAUACGAUACUGUUGGGCUCGAGACACUUAGGGGCUAUUGGAACUGUCGGUGUAGGGGUGAAAUCCGUUGAUAUCGACAGGAACUCCGAGGGCGAAGGCAGAUAGCUGGGAGUGUACUGACGCUGAGGAACGAAAGCUAGGGUAGCGAAAGGG
Molecule: ribosomal RNA, 253 nt
Filed under: uncultured bacterium
Lineage: Bacteria
Description: partial 16S ribosomal RNA
Rfam family: Bacterial small subunit ribosomal RNA
Source: RNAcentral